GACGAACGCUGGCGGCGUGCCUAAUACAUGCAAGUCGAACGCUUCUUUCCUCCCGAGUGCUUGCACUCAAUUGGAAAGAGGAGUGGCGGACGGGUGAGUAACACGUGGGUAACCUACCCAUCAGAGGGGGAUAACACUUGGAAACAGGUGCUAAUACCGCAUAACAGUUUAUGCCGCAUGGCAUAAGAGUGAAAGGCGCUUUCGGGUGUCGCUGAUGGGUGGACCCGCGGUGCAUUAGCUAGUUGGUGAGGUAACGGCUCACCAAGGCCACGAUGCAUAGCCGACCUGAGAGGGUGAUCGGCCACACUGGGACUGAGACACGGCCCAGACUCCUACGGGAGGCAGCAGUAGGGAAUCUUCGGCAAUGGACGAAAGUCUGACCGAGCAACGCCGCGUGAGUGAAGAAGGUUUUCGGAUCGUAAAACUCUGUUGUUAGAGAAGAACAAGGACGUUAGUAACUGAACGUCCCCUGACGGUAUCUAACCAGAAAGCCACGGCUAACUACGUG
RNAcentral lists this ribosomal RNA (508 nucleotides) under uncultured bacterium. Its description in RNAcentral is "partial 16S ribosomal RNA". It matches the Rfam family "Bacterial small subunit ribosomal RNA", at positions 28 to 507 of the family's 1533-position model. The record is from RNAcentral.